GAUGAACGCUGGCGGCGUGCCUAAUACAUGCAAGUCGAGCGAACGGACGAGAAGCUUGCUUCUCUGAUGUUAGCGGCGGACGGGUGAGUAACACGUGGAUAACCUACCUAUAAGACUGGGAUAACUUCGGGAAACCGGAGCUAAUACCGGAUGAUAUUUUGAACCGCAUGGUUCAAAAGUGAAAGACGGUCUUGCUGUCACUUAUAGAUGGAUCCGCGCUGCAUUAGCUAGUUGGUAAGGUAACGGCUUACCAAGGCAACGAUGCAUAGCCGACCUGAGAGGGUGAUCGGCCACACUGGAACUGAGACACGGUCCAGACUCCUACGGGAGGCAGCAGUAGGGAAUCUUCCGCAAUGGGUGAAAGCCUGACGGAGCAACGCCGCGUGAGUGAUGAAGGUCUUCGGAUCGUAAAACUCUGUUAUUAGGGAAGUACAUAUGUGUAAGUAACUGUGCACAUCUUGACGGUACCUAAUCAGAAAGCCACGGCUAACUACGUG
RNAcentral lists this ribosomal RNA (497 nucleotides) under uncultured bacterium. RNAcentral describes it as "partial 16S ribosomal RNA". It matches the Rfam family "Bacterial small subunit ribosomal RNA", at positions 28 to 507 of the family's 1533-position model. The record is from RNAcentral.